This 497-nucleotide ribosomal RNA is filed under the name uncultured bacterium. RNAcentral describes it as "partial 16S ribosomal RNA". It matches the Rfam family "Bacterial small subunit ribosomal RNA", at positions 28 to 507 of the family's 1533-position model. The record is from RNAcentral.
GAUGAACGCUGGCGGCGUGCCUAAUACAUGCAAGUCGAGCGAACAGACGAGGAGCUUGCUCCUCUGACGUUAGCGGCGGACGGGUGAGUAACACGUGGAUAACCUACCUAUAAGACUGGGAUAACUUCGGGAAACCGGAGCUAAUACCGGAUAAUAUAUUGAACCGCAUGGUUCAAUAGUGAAAGACGGUUUUGCUGUCACUUAUAGAUGGAUCCGCGCCGCAUUAGCUAGUUGGUAAGGUAACGGCUUACCAAGGCAACGAUGCGUAGCCGACCUGAGAGGCGGAUAGGCCACACUGGAGCGGAGACGCGGUCCAGACGCCUACGGGAGGCAGCAGUAGGGAAUCUUCCGCAAUAGGCGAAAGCUUGACGGAGCAACGCCGCGUGAGUGAUGAAGGUCUUCGGAUCGUAAAACUCUGUUAUGAGGGAAGAACAAAUGUGUAAGUAACUAUGCACGUCUUGACGGUACCUAAUCAGAAAGCCACGGCUAACUACGUG